This 497-nucleotide ribosomal RNA is filed under the name uncultured bacterium. Its description in RNAcentral is "partial 16S ribosomal RNA". It matches the Rfam family "Bacterial small subunit ribosomal RNA", at positions 28 to 507 of the family's 1533-position model. The record is from RNAcentral.
GAUGAACGCUGGCGGCGUGCCUAAUACAUGCCAGUCGAGCGGACGGACGAGAAUCGUGCUGCUCUGAUGUUAGCGGCGGACGGGUGAUUAACCCGUGGGUAACCUACCUAUAGGGCUGGGAUAACGUCGGGAAACCUGAUCUAAUACCGGAUAAUAGUGUGAACCGCAUGGUUCAAAAGUGAAAGACGGUCUUGCUGUCACUUAGAGGUAGUUCCUCGCUGGAUUAGCUAGUUGGUAAGGUAACGGCUUACCAAGGCAACGAUGCAUAGCCGACCUGAGAGGGUGAUCGGCCACACUGGAACUGAGACACGGCCCAGACUCCUACGGGAGGCAGCAGUAGGGAAUUUUCCGCAAUGGGCGCAACCCUGACGGAGCAACGCCGCGUGAGUGAUGAAGGCCUUCGGAUCGUAAACCUCUGUUAUUCGGGAAGAAAAUAUGUGUAAGUAACUGUGCACAUCUUGACGGUACCUAAACAGAAAGCAACGGCUAACUACGUG